CGGGAUGAAGGUUGCUACCGACUCAGCGGCGGACGGGUGAGUAAUGCUUAGGAAUCUGCCUAUUAGUGGGGGACAACGUUCCGAAAGGAUCGCUAAUACCGCAUACGUCCUACGGGAGAAAGCAGGGGACCUUCGGGCCUUGCGCUAAUAGAUGAGCCUAAGUCGGAUUAGCUAGUUGGUAGGGUAAAGGCCUACCAAGGCGACGAUCUGUAGCGGGUCUGAGAGGAUGAUCCGCCACACUGGGACUGAGACACGGCCCAGACUCCUACGGGAGGCAGCAGUGGGGAAUAUUGGACAAUGGGGGGAACCCUGAUCCAGCCAUGCCGCGUGUGUGAAGAAGGCCUUUUGGUUGUAAACUUUAAGCGAGGAAGGCUAUAGAUUAAUACUUUAGGAUAGUGGACGUUACUCGCAGAAUAAGCACCGGCUAACUCUGUGCCAGCAGCCGCGGUACAGAGGGUGCGAGCGUUAAUCGGAUUUACUGGGCGUAAAGCGUGCGUAGGCGGCUUAUUAAGUCAAAUGUGAAAUCCCCGAGCUUAACUUGGGAAUUGCAUUCGAUACUGGUUGGCUAGAGUAUGGGAGAGGAUGGUAGAAUUCCAGGUGUAGCGGUGAAAUGCGUAGAGAUCUGGAGGAAUACCGAUGGCGAAGGCAGCCAUCUGGCCUAAUACUGACGCUGAGGUACGAAAGCAUGGGGAGCAAACAGGAUUAGAUACCCUGGUAGUCCAUGCCGUAAACGAUGUCUACUAGCCGUUGGGGCCCUUGAGGCUUUAGUGGCGCAGCUAACGCGAUAAGUAGACCGCCUGGGGAGUACGGUCGCAAGACUAAAACUCAAAUGAAUUGACGGGGGCCCGCACAAGCGGUGGAGCAUGUGGUUUAAUUCGAUGCAACGCGAAGAACCUUACCUGGCCUUGACAUACAGAGAACUUCCAGAGAUGG
RNAcentral lists this ribosomal RNA (933 nucleotides) under Acinetobacter sp. SB23. RNAcentral's name for it is "bacterial SSU rRNA". It matches the Rfam family "Bacterial small subunit ribosomal RNA", at positions 67 to 1009 of the family's 1533-position model. The record is from RNAcentral. Lineage: Bacteria; Pseudomonadati; Pseudomonadota; Gammaproteobacteria; Moraxellales; Moraxellaceae.